AUAGAGGCUGUGAACGGAAAGAGUAGUUUUUAUGAAGCUGAAAGAGAAGGAUUAUCGUCGGCUGAAAGUAAUCCUGAGCUAGUGGAAAUGAAGUGCCUCCGGGAGCCUGUUUUGCAAAAGGGGAGUGACCCAAGUAGUGAAGCACGCCUGGCAUACGUUACAUGCAUUGAGUGGAGGGCAACCUUCAUAAGAGUGGAACCACGGAAGAUAUUUCGUCUCUUGU
RNAcentral lists this non-coding RNA (223 nucleotides) under Parasporobacterium paucivorans. Its description in RNAcentral is "T-box sequence". It matches the Rfam family "T-box leader". From Rfam's summary of the family: Uncharged tRNA acts as the effector for transcription antitermination of genes in the T-box leader family. T-boxes are found upstream of many aminoacyl-tRNA synthetase genes and some amino acid biosynthetic genes usually in Gram-positive bacteria. Lineage: Bacteria; Bacillati; Bacillota; Clostridia; Lachnospirales; Lachnospiraceae. The record is from RNAcentral.